GAUGAACGCUGACAGAAUGCUUAACACAUGCAAGUCAACUUGAACUUCGGUUUGGGUGGCGGACGGGUGAGUAACGCGUAAAGAACUUGCCUCACAGAUAGGGACAACAUUUGGAAACGAAUGCUAAUACCUGAUAUUAUGAUUUUAGGGCAUCCUAGGAUUAUGAAAGCUAUAAGCACUGUGAGAGAGCUUUGCGUCCCAUUAGCUAGUUGGAGAGGUAACAGCUCACCAAGGCGAUGAUGGGUAGCCGGCCUGAGAGGGUGAACGGCCACAAGGGGACUGAGACACGGCCCUUACUCCUACGGGAGGCAGCAGUGGGGAAUAUUGGACAAUGGACCGAGAGUCUGAUCCAGCAAUUCUGUGUGCACGAUGAAGUUUUUCGGAAUGUAAAGUGCUUUCAGUUGGGAAGAAAAAAAUGACGGUACCAACAGAAGAAGUGACGGCUAAAUACGUGCCAGCAGCCGCGGUAAUACGUAUGUCACGAGCGUUAUCCGGAUUUAUUGGGCGUAAAGCGCGUCUAGGUGGUUAUGUAAGUCUGAUGUGAAAAUGCAGGGCUCAACUCUGUAUUGCGUUGGAAACUGUAUAACUAGAGUACUGGAGAGGUAAGCGGAACUACAAGUGUAGAGGUGAAAUUCGUAAAUAUUUGUAGGAAUGCCCCAUGGGGAAGCCAGCUUACUGGACAAUACUGACGCUUUAUGCGCGAAAGCGGGGUUACAAACGGAAUUAAAUAACUUUGAAUCCCAAGGGUGAUUCCACAUUGUAUUUAGGGUUGAUCGAUACCGCGACCUACCAGGGGGGGGUUUUUUUUUUUUUUUUGUUCUUUUAGUGGACGCUACAUAAGGGUGGGGCCUGAGGAAGGGGGGUUUCUCU
RNAcentral lists this ribosomal RNA (870 nucleotides) under uncultured Fusobacterium sp. RNAcentral's name for it is "partial 16S ribosomal RNA". It matches the Rfam family "Bacterial small subunit ribosomal RNA", at positions 28 to 837 of the family's 1533-position model. Lineage: Bacteria; Fusobacteriati; Fusobacteriota; Fusobacteriia; Fusobacteriales; Fusobacteriaceae. The record is from RNAcentral.